Molecule: ribosomal RNA, 465 nt
Filed under: uncultured Klebsiella sp.
Lineage: Bacteria; Pseudomonadati; Pseudomonadota; Gammaproteobacteria; Enterobacterales; Enterobacteriaceae
Description: bacterial SSU rRNA
Rfam family: Bacterial small subunit ribosomal RNA
Source: RNAcentral
CCUACGGGAGGCAGCAGUGGGGAAUAUUGCACAAUGGGCGCAAGCCUGAUGCAGCCAUGCCGCGUGUGUGAAGAAGGCCUUCGGGUUGUAAAGCACUUUCAGCGGGGAGGAAGGCGGUGAGGUUAAUAACCUCAUCGAUUGACGUUACCCGCAGAAGAAGCACCGGCUAACUCCGUGCCAGCAGCCGCGGUAAUACGGAGGGUGCAAGCGUUAAUCGGAAUUACUGGGCGUAAAGCGCACGCAGGCGGUCUGUCAAGUCGGAUGUGAAAUCCCCGGGCUCAACUUGGGAACUGCAUUCGAAGCUGGCAGGCUAGAGUCUUGUAGAGGGGGGUAGAAUUCCAGGUGUAGCGGUGAAAUGCGUAGAGAUCUGGAGGAAUACCGGUGGCGAAGGCGGCCCCCUGGACAAAGACUGACGCUCAGGCGCGAAAGCGUGGGGAGCAAACAGGAUUAGAUACCCGUGUAGUC